RNAcentral lists this long non-coding RNA (247 nucleotides) under Elaeis guineensis (African oil palm). RNAcentral's name for it is "long non-coding RNA (EGUI_LNC082796)". Lineage: Eukaryota; Viridiplantae; Streptophyta; Magnoliopsida; Arecales; Arecaceae. The record is from RNAcentral.
GGGCCAACUGGUGCGUGCCACGCGUCCCGCAUGUCCCCUUCACCGCUAUCGAGGGUUGACCGUUCAUGAAUUUCCGUAGCACGAUGCUUGGGAUCGCAUUCCGACAGGGGUUCCGAAAAGACUCUUCAGGUCGCCUUCACCGGAAAGCGGGCUCUGACGUGCACACAUUAAAUGCCAAAAUAUCUGGGGGCGGCAGUGCACAGGAUGCGAGGGGACGGCUUCGGCUGUGCCCAUCUCUCUGUACUUC